UGUUUCUUUCGCUCCCAGGCCCUUCGUGGUCACAUUUAAUGAAGUAAAGCCGCAAAACCUCGCCUAGUUUACUGGGAGGCUUCGGGAGGAUCUUGAGACAAGAGAGUCCCCAGACAGGUGAGAAGCAACUAGGAUGGAAGUCCUCAAGCACCCCACACUCAAGCCAUCUUGACUGAAUUACUUGUGGUUUUACACAGUGUGCUCCCUAAUGAAUGGCUGAGCAGGCAGGAGGACUUCUCAGAAAGAGGAAAAGAGAUGACCAACUCUACAGGGACUUUUU
Camelus dromedarius (Arabian camel) is the source of this 280-nucleotide long non-coding RNA. RefSeq lists it as uncharacterized. NCBI's taxonomy places the organism in Eukaryota, Metazoa, Chordata, Mammalia, Artiodactyla, Camelidae. The transcript has 3 exons. The record is from RefSeq and is a predicted model, not a curated record.